GUCGGAAUAAAAAGGCUCAGACAGGUUUACGUGUACACGGUCGAGACUCAGGGAGACUCGCACUGUGCAAUAAAAAGAAAGAGUCUUUAUUCAGAGAGUACAUACAGGAAGAGAGAAAAUAGAACUGCAGGCUUCCUGUGUAACUUCCCCAUUUAGGAGUCUGCACAGAGUUGCAGAGUUUAAGCUGAAUACUGAAAAGAGCAAACACAUUUAGAUAAUGAAACGUACUUUUAAGCAUAACAUAAUAAAAAUCCCAAAAUCCUAAGAAAUCUCUUAACAUUCCCUCCUGUUGUACAUAUGUAUAUGUACAGUUCAUAGCUUAUUGUAUCAGUCUAUGGCCACUUGUAAACAUUUCUAGCCAAGACAUCAUAAAACAGUGGGUUUCGUGAAUAUGUUAUAUCCAGUGUUGGGGAGUAACGGAAUACAUGUACCGCCGUUACGUAUUCAGAAUACAAAAUAUGAGUAACUGUAUUCCGUUACAGUUACCGUUUAAAAAGGUGGUAUUCAGAAUACAGUUACUUUGUUGAAAUAAAUGGAUUACACGGCGGUACUUCCCUGUUUCAUGUUGUCGCGGGUCAGGACUGUUUGGGUUUGUUUGACAGCUACGUUCUGUUGUUCCAGGCGGCAGCGUUACGGUUGCCAUGGUUACAGGGUGACUCUCUCUCUCUGCGUGUUUCCUGGGUGAGAGAGCGCUUUUUUGUUGUUGUUGUUGUGCUAAGCUAAUAGGCAGAAUGCUACAGGCAUAGCUCUAAAGCAUGUAGCCUGAUGGGCAGUGUAGUCCGUGCCGCAGGGAGAAUGGACUACCAUACCCGUUAUGUGUCUGUGAGCGAGGGAGGGAGAGAAAGGAAGUCCGAGCUGUCACGGAGCAAAAACGGGAGCUGGAAGCAUGUAAAUAUAAUAAUAACCACUGCAGCCAAGAAGAGUGCCUGACGAGCCCAGCUGUCAACCCAGAACCAUUCGUCACAUGUGCCGUUUCAUCCUAUCUGGAGAGGUUCCUCAUGGUUGACCACGAUUCCCUGGAAUUGAUGCCCACGGCUGGCGUAGCUUGCGGCACACUUUGUUUGAAUUAUGUCCAUUCCCUUCGCAUACAAGGUGGUGUACUGUGUCGCUGGGGGCAUAUAGGAGCAAACAUAGCAGUCCUUUCUGGGUGUGCUGUCAUGUAUAUAUCGAUACCAUGCGUUGUUCAUCUUCUUUCUUUCGGGUGAGUGUUAAGAAACUCACCAGGAGUGCAACAUUAGCCACUAGGAGGACGAGUGUCUUCAUGAUGACCAGACACACCUGUGACCUCUGAUGAGUAGACUACUGGCAAGAAGAAGAAGGCGGGUAUACCCGAUCAGCCCUCCCUCCACCAAUAGAUCACCAUACA
Molecule: long non-coding RNA, 1366 nt
Organism: Oreochromis aureus
Lineage: Eukaryota; Metazoa; Chordata; Actinopteri; Cichliformes; Cichlidae
Source: Ensembl